AUCUUUGCUUUUCACUUUUCUUGAUGAGAUCCCCAGAAUAGGGAAAAAAAUAAUAAUAAUAAUAAUUCAGUUUUGCAUCACAGAACACUUCCAUACUUAUUCUACCAAAAUAGUUGCUCCGGCUGCUACGUAACUGUUCCGAUACUCGUCUUGGUCUGACAUUAUUGUGCAAUACUGCAGUACUGAGGACAGUGCCAAAAUAUGUUCUGUACUAUACAAAAGGGAUGCUGUGUGUGUGAUAUUUUACUUCUUGUCCUGGGUAUUUGUCAUAUCAGAUACAGUAUCAGGGCACAGUAUGUUCCUAUAGGUGGACACACAUCUUCUGCCUCGGGUGGUCAGCAACUAUAAAUACCAUGUACACCACAAACCACGAAAUUUCUCUUAACUGCCUCCACAUUGACUUCAGCAUGUGUAAAACACACUUCUCAGAACAACAUCCUGAAGACUGCAAGCUUUUAUUUUAGGUUACAUACUUUUAACUUGUAAUAGAAGAUGAUUCCACCAGUACUUACCACUAAUAAGGAUAAGAAGACACUGGAUCUAUCGCAGACAAGUGAACUUCUAGUGUUAUCGAUACUAAAGUGCGUAGAAGCACUCUUCUCUUGAGAAACUCAGCACCAAUACCAACCAACUUCUUGACAGCUGGCUACUGUUUGGAGUCAUGCUUGGGAUAGUGAAAUCCAGGUUAACCACUUAUACUGACCAACUUGAAC
Molecule: non-coding RNA, 713 nt
Organism: Anas platyrhynchos (mallard)
Lineage: Eukaryota; Metazoa; Chordata; Aves; Anseriformes; Anatidae
Source: RefSeq, a predicted model, not a curated record